GAUGGACCCGCGGUGCAUUAGCUAGUUGGUGAGGUAACGGCUCACCAAGGCCACGAUGCAUAGCCGACCUGAGAGGGUGAUCGGCCACAUUGGGACUGAGACACGGCCCAAACUCCUACGGGAGGCAGCAGUAGGGAAUCUUCGGCAAUGGACGGAAGUCUGACCGAGCAACGCCGCGUGAGUGAAGAAGGUUUUCGGAUCGUAAAACUCUGUUGUUAGAGAAGAACAAGGGUGAGAGUAACUGUUCACCCCUUGACGGUAUCUAACCAGAAAGCCACGGCUAACUACGUGCCAGCAGCCGCGGUAAUACGUAGGUGGCAAGCGUUGUCCGGAUUUAUUGGGCGUAAAGCGAGCGCAGGCGGUUUCUUAAGUCUGAUGUGAAAGCCCCCGGCUCAACCGGGGAGGGUCAUUGGAAACUGGGAGACUUGAGUGCAGAAGAGGAGAGUGGAAUUCCAUGUGUAGCGGUGAAAUGCGUAGAUAUAUGGAGGAACACCAGUGGCGAAGGCGGCUCUCUGGUCUGUAACUGACGCUGAGGCUCGAAAGCGUGGGGAGCAAACAGGAUUAGAUACCCUGGUAGUCCACGCC
Molecule: ribosomal RNA, 585 nt
Filed under: uncultured bacterium
Lineage: Bacteria
Description: bacterial SSU rRNA
Rfam family: Bacterial small subunit ribosomal RNA
Source: RNAcentral